This is a long non-coding RNA of Taeniopygia guttata (zebra finch), 5432 nucleotides long. The record is from Ensembl. Lineage: Eukaryota; Metazoa; Chordata; Aves; Passeriformes; Estrildidae.
GACGGCGCAGGGGCGCUGCGGGCUCCGGGGCAGCUCCCGCCCUCCCUGAGGGAACCCCCAGCUCUCCUCCAGAGCCCCUCCGGCACAUCGGGCAGGAGAUGCAGUUUGUACUGCUCAGGGGCCGCCCGUAAAGAGUCUCCUGAAAAAUUAGGAGAGAGAGAUUUGUGGAGGGUGCCUGAAGAAGGAUACUGAACCCAGAGGACCUGCAACAGUUAACAGCAGCUGAGACACUGAGAUUUUCUCCCAGUUUUCAGAGUCUACCCUUUUUCUGCAUACGUGGAAUUUCUCACAGAAUUAUCAUCUCUACUAAAGGCAAAUUAAUUACCCAACUAAAGAGUCCAUGGAAGCAGUGAAAGGAACAUUUCAGAAGACAAAAGGAAAGAACAGUUCCUCUUCCUGUCACAUUGCUCACACCAGGCUUCCCUUUAACUGUGGUGAGAAGCCAGCUCUAUAAUUCUAAUUGUGCUGUAAUUGUCUGCUGUGUACGUUUAACAUCUGCCUGUGCCAUAACAAUCAAUAGCAGUUAACUUUGUUUUUCUUUUCCCCCUUGGUGUGAUAAGUGAUGUUUCUUUCCAGCUUGUGUCACAGUUUGUAUUAUCUUUGUUGACAGCCCAUCUUGCAAGGGAGUCUCUCUUCAGUGUUAUGUUAAUAAUCUUAGAAGAGAAAAUACACAGUGCUAAUUCCUAAAAACCAGGGAAAUGACACAUCGCUGUGUACCUGGCUAUAGCCCUAAAACUUGAAUGACAGAGCUAUUUUGUCUGAGUGCAAUGGCACUGAUCUCCCUCUUUCUAUAAAAUUAUGCAACCAUACAUCAAAGCAGUGGUUCCAUUAUUUUUAUAUGUCUAGCAAACAAAACUGGACAUUAUAUCCUGCAACCUAAAUGUCUGCAAUAUGGACAGCUCCACUAAAUGUUUGGUUGCUGACAGACGAUCUGCAAGACACUGAUUUAUGGGGGACAGAAGGUAAAAUUAUCUGGAGUCAGAGAGUAAGUUACACUUGCAAUUUCAGAUUUUCCUCCUUAAUUACUGCAGUAAUACAGAAGAUUGGCAAGAAAAAACAAACACAGAUGUUCCCCAGUUUUGCCUAGUGUUUGGUGACUGGCAAAAUACAAAAGUCCCAAAUCUGACUUUGGUAAAAGUCCAUGAGAACUCUGGGUCCUUGUCUAAGUUUUAAAGGGGAUUCCAAGAAAAUUUUCAUUCUAACAAAAUAUUUUUCCAGAUUGUUCUUACCUGGAGAAAUAAGCUGAAACAUUAAAAGAACACACAGGAAAUGGUCUGUAUCAUUUUUAUUUUUACAUAUGAGUGAAGCAGUGACAAUCUCCAAAUUUUUAUCUAUGGAACAUACCAUUUAAAAUGUCUUUUAAGAUCUUCCAUGAAGAACAUAGAUUGAAUAAAUUACUAUUUACAAGUGAAAUUUUUUUUUUUUUUAUCCAAACUUCACAGUGAACUGUAUUAUAUACUUUGGUAUGCCGGUUUUCCACAUGAUAAAAGUAUUGAAAUAUUAAAAGGCUAUACUCAAAAUAGUCCUUGUUGAAAAAAACUGAAGAAGUUUAUAAGGAUCUAUUUCCUGUUAAUAGAGUUUGAAAAAGUUUAAGUCAAGGCAUCUAGUCUCCUAAAUAUUUUUUUUAAAUCAAAGCUCUGAACCAUGACAGGUAAAAGCAUUCAAGAGUAUAAACUAUAUUAAAAAAAUCCCAAACAGCCAAAGCCAGUGGGUAAAAUAUAAAGGCUAUGUGACAUCCUGUAGUUAUCUAUGACAGCUUAAUAGCAUUUCAGGGAUAUAACAAAUACAGCAAAGAUUUCUUCAGAACAUUAAUUCUUGGCCAUACUAGCUCCGAAAUAAAAUGAAAUAUUUGAUAUUGAUACCUACAGAAAAAAACUUACAGCCUUUUCCUCCUGUCAUAAACAUUACACAUCUUCCUUACAGGAAUAUCCUUAACAGACUCAUCCUCUCGAGUACCACUUCAGAAAAAAAAAUUUCCAUAGGGUUGGAAUAUAGGCUGUGUUAUCCAUCCAUGCAACUCCUACUUCUGGUAUUAAUGUUCAUGGGAGCUAGCAGAAAAGAACAGUAAUAGAAGCCCAUGAAUGUGAGAACGUAUAACACUUUUUUUUUCUCUCUUCUGUCUUUUUGAUCCCUUUGCUGCUUGAAUUUUUGUGUUUAUACAUUGUUUUCCUAUGUUAGGAGAACAACAUGACAAUCGUUUUAGUGUAUUUCUUCAUUCACACACAAAACUAGCUUGGCAGGUUAGCAAACAAGACAAAACCUAACUCAGAGAUAAAAAUUGAGACAGUGAGGAGGAAUACUUUUCCCUAAAUAGUUGAGCUCAAAAUAUCAUCUUCAAUUGCUCUUCUCUACAGACAAAUAUGUACCUUCGUAGCUUUGUGUACCUCCUUGUUCUACACUACGCUAAAAACACACACUGACAAAACCAUAGUGGUUUUGCCACACUUACAACAUCUAUAUGCUCCAACUAAAACAAAGAACUCUGAAGGAAAAGAAUCGAAGUAUUUACAUUAAUUAAAUUCACUGCUGCCAGAAACUGUAACUUCAAAAUUGUGAAAUAGAAUUUAGUAAGAGAAACAAAAGCUGUUACAGCCAAUUCAGAAAUGAGCAAGCACUCCAACUGACUCUUUAAAAUACUAAGUCAUCAACCCUAAAAAAUAAAAGAUAAUUGAACAGAUACCAUGUAGUAAAGGUUGCAGGCUAUGUAUGGCUGCAGGAAGCAAAAAAAUAAAACUCCUUGUGAAAAACACUGCAUGGGUAAAGGCUGUACUGCAGAUACAGCCAGGCUUAAUUAAACACAUCAAUGGCAAAAUAUUUUGAGGACAAGCUCAGUGUUAAAUGCAUGAUUUUUGUGUGAAGCUGCAGGUGACAAAAUCCAGAUGGCAGCAAAUCAUGACUGUAACAGAAAAGGCACUUUAUACAUUUCUUAUUUUGAUCAUUACCACUGUUACUAUUUUUGGUAAUAAGCAGCAUCUUUAAAAGUGAGCAACAUAAGGCUGAGAUUCAUGCACAGUAGAACCACUACCCCUACAUCCCUAAGAGCACAUCACUUUGCAGCCUUCAAGAUGGACAUAGUACGAAACAGGCGGCCUCUUGUGCAAUGUGCUAUCAACAGUACUGUCUGCCAUUUAGGUCAGGCUUUUAGAAACAGUCAAAACUCUUAAGAAGGAUAAAGAUUUAUUUCAGGCUGCUAAUAUUGAUAGGCUUCCUUAGGAAGAGCCCUGCUGGAGGGUUUCUCCCAAGGUGCUUCCUUCAGAACUGUCUCUCUGGAGGCUGUUGUCCAAAUUCAGAAUUCCCACAGAAAAGCCCGAUGGAUGACUGCUAAAGAGCUUUUUGGUUUCAGCUUUGUGCCAGACCUGCUGUUGUAAUCACCAACUCAAACUAUAACACCCUAUAUCUAUAACUCUAUUCCUGACCAACCAAAAUUGCCAAUUUCAGGUAUUAAACCUAAAAUCUCAGUGUUACAAAAUUGCUUCAGGGAGAGUUGUCAUCAACUCAAAGGGAGCUAAGUGAGGGCAGAGAGUCAUCCUAGUCACCACACAGAUUUCUCCUGGAGGAUGUGGGCUGGAUAGUUAAUUCAUCACACAAAAAGCAAGGGGGUAAUUAAGAUGUCUCACAUAAAGAGCAGUUGAGAACAUUAGUCCUGGUUACGAUUCCCUGUCUCUGCCCUGACACACCAAUGCUAUUUUCUAUCCUCUCAUCACUUACCAAAUGCUUAAACCUCCCAGCCUUUUUCUUUGCCUGUAACUAAUCAUUACUGGCAACUGGCCACAAAGUUAAAAACAUCCAGUGGUAGUGUUCUGUGUAGUUUUCAGAAAAAAUAAAAGCCUUCUUAAAAAACUAUAUGGUGAAACACCAGGAUACAGAGAAUAAGGAUCAUAUUUUUGAUUCUGGGAUCCAUACUAUCAUUUCAACAGUACCACAUUACUGCAUUGUAUGCAUUACUGUAUAUAUCUACACAUGUAUUUACAAUUUGCAGGUCCAGAUCUGGACAGAGAAACUACAACUCUUCAAAGAAGGACGAAAAGAAAAUUCUUCCAAACACUCAAAGUAAUUUACUUGAACCUUUUAUUUCUCUUCCAUGUAUGCGCAUUUUGAGAGUAGGGCACAAAAUGUGUCUUGAUUUUGAAGGGAUUACUUAUCUCUGAUGUGUAUGGUCUUUCAUAUGGAAAUCAGACAUUAUUUAUUUCCUUGAACAAACCCCAUGUUCAGUUUAUACAAAAAUCUAGAUUUACACACCUAGAAGAAAUAUUAUCCCCCAUUUAUUUUCAAGCUCAUUUUGAAGCACAAUUCAAACUCUGGUAAUAAAGAGUCUGACCCACAACCUCUUACCAUUUGUCCAAAUUUACCCAGCUUUGGCAAACCUUCUUUGCCUACUCUUCCAGGAUUUUUGCAUGUUGUUUGGACAGAAGUUCACUCAAAAAUGUUGCUACAAAUCAGCAGUGCACAGCUGGUGUUUUUCAUGGGUUUUCUAUGCAAAACCUGGAAUUCCCAAAGUUUUUGGCUUUGCACACAUUGUGAAGAUACAAUGCUGAUUUAACAGCCCAGAAUUGCCCAAACCAUUCACUUCUGUGAGAAGAAUGAAUAACCAGUAGCACAUCAGGACAAACUAGCAACAUCUAUGCCAGAAUUCACAGCAUUUACAUUUGCUUAGUACCUAAACUUUGACCCUAACAUCCUGAUCCAAAUGAGCAUUAGAUCUGAGAAUGUUCUAGUUCAAGCCUGUCAGAACAUUCAGAUCAGCUUUCUGUACUAUGAAUGUUUAAUCCCAGACCCAUGAAAUUCAGCAGCAAAAUUUUAGCUGCUUUCUAUGGUAUUGAAUGGAAAUAGACUGAAGUAAAUGGAAAUUUUCUACUUACUCCAAGGUGGCGUUCUAUACAAUAGCUGACAGAGACUAUUAAAAGGGUAAUAAGUUUCUCACCUUUAGAUUUAGUCUUGGAAACAAACCAAGACUACUACUUUUAGUAGUACUUUUUUUAGCAUCAGUUAACAUUUUUAGCAUCAGUUAAAUAUAAUCUAGAACGGGGAGAGUCCUGGGAUAGGUGGGAUGGAUAUAUGUCAGGAGCCUGUUUUGUCUAGACUUAAAAAGAGAAGACUUGAGGAGUCCUUGCCUACAGCUGUCAGAUGGGAGAGAGUAGGGAGAUGGUCAUAUUUUACAGCUACCCAGUGGGUAGAGGAGAAGAAGUAGACACAAGCAGCAACUUAGGAAAAUUCCAUUAAAAAAUAUAUUGUCAGAGUAGUCAAACACUUUGCCUCUGCAGUGUUCAGCACUUCAGGUCUCACUGCAAAAGUUUAUGCAUGCUACGAUUUUGAUGUUUGUAUUUGUAAUUCUUGCUCUGGGUAAAACUUAGAAAGCAGUGCUACACUCAGAAAAUAUUUUUUUAAGAUGCUAUAUAUGUAUUUGUGACAAAGACAUCUGAAAUUUUAGAAGC